Choloepus didactylus (southern two-toed sloth) is the source of this 885-nucleotide long non-coding RNA. RefSeq lists it as uncharacterized. The record is from RefSeq and is a predicted model, not a curated record. The transcript has 3 exons. NCBI's taxonomy places the organism in Eukaryota, Metazoa, Chordata, Mammalia, Pilosa, Megalonychidae.
GGUACAAUUCUCCAGGCCAGGUCGAAUUCUGAGGGUGGUGGAUGUCCCCGGAAAGGACAUCGGGGCUACGAGGGAAAAGACAGGGAGCGGAGAGGAGGACCAUCUGCAAACUUGUAAGGGGAGCCGAGGCGAGGCCCACCCGGGCUGAGGGAGGCGGGACCCCAGACUCGCUGUCCCCAGCAUGAGGAAGGAGGGGUGCCGAGGACCUACGGCUGUGCGGGCUGGGCAUGAGUCCCGAGUGCCAACUGCGAAUAGGCACAGGGUGCAGCUGCAAAGGAGCCGAGCAAAGCUCCACGAGAGGGAAACAGACAUUGCAAAUCCCACAAGUAGUUAAGGACAGGUCAAUUCAGGGGAGAAGAGAAAUAGAGUGCUACAGGAGGUUUUGGGAAGCAAACCCACUGGGGCCUGGGCGAUGGCUUCCCCGGAACAUCUUCCCUGGAACAUCUUCCCUGUGCCCAAUUGGGCCAGAUGCCAAACUCCCUGAGCGCCUGGACCAAGUCUGGCCAGGAAUUCCUUAUCUGCCCUGCAGUUCCCAGCCCCGGAUGGGCCUCCAUGUGUGCUUCUUACCGAAGGAUGGACACCCAGGGCCCUCACCUCCAUCUGACGACCUUGGACAAGUCCUCCUAUGGCCUUCUCUCCAGGUGAGGAGUGGGUGAUCCAGGUCAUGUGUCUCUGCAGUGACAGAGCUGGAGCUGAAACUGGGGUCUGCUUCCAGGCCAUGUGCUAUCCUCGCAUUCAGCAGUGACAUCAGAUGACUUAUAAAGUUACAGUGCUCUCUGCCUCAGGAUGCAGGUAUGGGUUGGUGGAGCUUCUCAGCUCUUCUCAUAUCAUUCCAGCGGCAUCUAUGCUGUGAGCCCCGCUCUGCCCUGGCAGCCCCAGCUCCUG